This 495-nucleotide ribosomal RNA is filed under the name uncultured bacterium. RNAcentral's name for it is "partial 16S ribosomal RNA". It matches the Rfam family "Bacterial small subunit ribosomal RNA", at positions 28 to 507 of the family's 1533-position model. The record is from RNAcentral.
GACGAACGCUGGCGGCGUGCCUAAUACAUGCAAGUAGAACGCUGAAGGAGGAGCUUGCUUCUCUGGAUGAGUUGCGAACGGGUGAGUAACGCGUAGGUAACCUGCCUGGUAGCGGGGGAUAACUAUUGGAAACGAUAGCUAAUACCGCAUAAGAGUAGAUGUUGCAUGACAUUUGCUUAAAAGGUGCAAUUGCAUCACUACCAGAUGGACCUGCGUUGGAUUAGCUAGUUGGUGGGGUAACGGCUCACCAAGGCGACGAUACAUAGCCGACCUGAGAGGGUGAUCGGCCACACUGGGACUGAGACACGGCCCAGACUCCUACGGGAGGCAGCAGUAGGGAAUCUUCGGCAAUAGACGGAAGUCUGACCGAGCAACGCCGCGUGAGUGAAGAAGGUUUUCGGAUCGUAAAGCUCUGUUGUAAGAGAAGAACGAGUGUGAGAGUGGAAAGUUCACACUGUGACGGUAUCUUACCAGAAAGGGACGGCUAACUACGUG